This 253-nucleotide ribosomal RNA is filed under the name uncultured bacterium. Its description in RNAcentral is "partial 16S ribosomal RNA". It matches the Rfam family "Bacterial small subunit ribosomal RNA", at positions 524 to 776 of the family's 1533-position model. The record is from RNAcentral.
UACGAAGGGGGCUAGCGUUGCUCGGAAUCACUGGGCGUAAAGGGCGCGUAGGCGGCCAUUCAAGUCGGGGGUGAAAGCCCAGGGCUCAACCCUGGAAUUGCCUUCGAUACUGUUUGGCUAGAGACCGGAAGAGGUAAGUGGAACUGCGAGUGUAGAGGUGAAAUUCGUAGAUAUUCGCAAGAACACCAGUGGCGAAGGCGGCUUACUGGUCCGGUUCUGACGCUGAGGCGCGAAAGCGUGGGGAGCAAACAGG